AAUAUUGUACUAUGGGUGCAACCCUGAUCCAGCCAUGCCGCGUGUGUGAAGAAGGNCCNNGGAUUNUNAAGCUCUAUAAGUUGNNNNNAAGGGCUUUAGGUUAAUACCCUGAAGUUUUGACGUUACCAACAGAAUAAGCACCGGCCUACUCUGUGCCAGCAGCCGCGGUAAUACAGAUGGUGCAAGCGUUAAUCGGAAUUACUGGGCGUAAAGCGCGCGUAGGUGGUUCAGUAAGAUGGGUGUGAAAUCCCCGGGGUUAACAUGGGAACUGCUUUCAUAACUGCUGAGCUAGAGUACGGUAGAGGGUAGUGGAAUUUCCUGUGUAGCGGUGAAAUGCGUAGAUAUAGGAAGGAACACCAGUGGCGAAGGCGACUACCUGGACUGAUACUGACACUGAGGUGCGAAAGCGUGGGGAGCAAAC
Molecule: ribosomal RNA, 421 nt
Filed under: uncultured bacterium
Lineage: Bacteria
Description: partial 16S ribosomal RNA
Rfam family: Bacterial small subunit ribosomal RNA
Source: RNAcentral